Molecule: ribosomal RNA, 118 nt
Filed under: Pteropus alecto (black flying fox)
Lineage: Eukaryota; Metazoa; Chordata; Mammalia; Chiroptera; Pteropodidae
Source: RNAcentral
GUUUACAGCCAUGCCACUCUGACAAGCCCGAUCCCGUCUGAUCUCGGGAGCUAAGCAGGGUCAGGCCUGGUUUGUACUUGAAUGGGAGACCACCUAGGAAGACUAGGUGCUAUAGGCA